AGCCCGCGAGGCACAAAGCCGGGGGCCCAAAGGCCAGGUCGGGGGCGUGAUGGGCAGGCAGCUGGGGCCAGAUGGGCAGGGCAGGGGGCUGGUGGGCAGGACAAAGGCCAGGCAGGCAGACAGCAGGGGCCAGGCGGGCAGGGCAGGGGCCAGGCGGGCAGACAGCAGGGGCCUGGCGGGCAGGGCAGGGGCCAGGCGGGCAGGGCAGGGGCCAGGCGGGCACAUCUGCAGAAGCUCAGAGGUGAGGUGGCAGCUGGGGGCUCCUGGGAGUCGUGCAGGAAGCCCGCAGGUGUGUGUCUGGCCUAGGCUCAUCCGGAUUUCUCCUUGAUGGCUUCUGGCCUGACGCCUUUCCGCCACCCUGUCUAUUCACAUGCCGCAGCAGUGACGGAUGGAACCUCCUGGGGCCUCCCAGAGCUACUUGAAUGUUGUGUGUUGAGGGGUUACUGUCACAAACGUGUGGCCCAUACAGGGACCCAGGAACCCCCAUGCUCCAUCCUGAAAGUGGCCCUGCGGUGGAAGGGUGCUGUCUGGGCUGCCCAGCCUUCCUGUUGAGCCCCUGGGCGGCGGGCGCUCCAUGUCCAAAGCCCCGCAGAGCCUGUGCGUGUCUGCGCUGAGGACACGGGGCCAACCUGCCGGAGCACCCACCAGUCCCCUGCGCCCCGAGGCAGUAGAGCCGCUCUUAGAGCCGAUCCAGGCCCCUCGGUCUCCCACUCCAGCAAGUCUGUCCCUCUUGCCACCCCCAGGGAACAGUCCUCCGAAGCCCGGGUCACACGGAGGCCCAUGGUCGCAGUGUCAGGCUCGGGCAGAUGUGUGAGCUGGCAUGUGCCC
RNAcentral lists this long non-coding RNA (828 nucleotides) under Ovis aries (sheep). RNAcentral describes it as "lncRNA (ENSOARG00000025491.1)". The record is from RNAcentral. Lineage: Eukaryota; Metazoa; Chordata; Mammalia; Artiodactyla; Bovidae.